Molecule: ribosomal RNA, 253 nt
Filed under: uncultured bacterium
Lineage: Bacteria
Description: partial 16S ribosomal RNA
Rfam family: Bacterial small subunit ribosomal RNA
Source: RNAcentral
UACAGAGGGUGCAAGCGUUGUUCGGAAUUACUGGGCGUAAAGCGCGUGUAGGCGGCGUGGUAAGUCGGAUGUGAAAUCCCUGGGCUCAACCUGGGAACUGCAUUCGAUACUGCCGAGCUAGAGUGUGGGAGAGGGUAGUGGAAUUCCCGGUGUAGCGGUGAAAUGCGUAGAUAUCGGGAGGAACAUCAGUGGCGAAGGCGACUGCCUGGCCCAACACUGACGCUGAGGUGCGAAAGCGUGGGUAGCAAACAGG